Molecule: ribosomal RNA, 346 nt
Filed under: uncultured bacterium
Lineage: Bacteria
Description: partial 16S ribosomal RNA
Rfam family: Bacterial small subunit ribosomal RNA
Source: RNAcentral
CCUACGGGAGGCAGCAGUGAGGAAUAUUGGUCAAUGGACGAGAGUCUGAACCAGCCAAGUAGCGUGAAGGAUGACUGCCCUAUGGGUUGUAAACUUCGUUUAUAUGGGAAUAAAAUGUGCCACGUGUGGGAUGUUGUAUGUACCAUAUGAAUAAGGAUCGGCUAACGCCGUGCCAGCAGCCGCGGUAAUACGGAGGAUCCGAGCGUUAUCCGGAUUUAUUGGGUUUAAAGGGAGCGUAGGUGGCUUGUUAAGUCAGUUUUGAAAGUUUGCGGCUCAACCGGAAAAUUGCAGUUGAAACUGGCAGUCUUGAGUACAGUCGAGGUUGGCGGAAUUCGUGGUGUAGCGG